UGCGUAGGUGGCCUUUUAAGUUGGAUGUGAAAUACCCGGGCUUAACCUGGGGGGUGCAUCUAAUACUGGGAGGCUAGAGUGCAGGAGAGGAAAGCGGAAUUCCUAGUGUAGCGGUGAAAUGCGUAGAUAUUAGGAGGAACACCAGUGGCGAAGGCGGCUUACUGGACGGUAACUGACGUUGAGGCUCGAAAGCGUGGGGAGCAAACA
Molecule: ribosomal RNA, 207 nt
Filed under: uncultured bacterium
Lineage: Bacteria
Description: partial 16S ribosomal RNA
Rfam family: Bacterial small subunit ribosomal RNA
Source: RNAcentral